Molecule: ribosomal RNA, 449 nt
Filed under: uncultured bacterium
Lineage: Bacteria
Description: partial 16S ribosomal RNA
Rfam family: Bacterial small subunit ribosomal RNA
Source: RNAcentral
AACGAACGCUGGCGGCAUGCCUAACACAUGCAAGUCGAACGAACCCUUCGGGGUUAGUGGCGCACGGGUGCGUAACGCGUGGGAAUCUGCCCUUGGCUUCGGAAUAACAGUUAGAAAUGACUGCUAAUACCGGAUGAUGACGAAAGUCCAAAGAUUUAUCGGCCAGGGAUGAGCCCGCGUAGGAUUAGGUAGUUGGUGGGGUAAAGGCCUACCAAGCCGACGAUCCUUAGCUGGUCUGAGAGGAUGAUCAGCCACACUGGGACUGAGACACGGCCCAGACUCCUACGGGAGGCAGCAGUGGGGAAUAUUGGACAAUGGACGCAAGUCUGAUCCAGCAAUGCCGCGUGAGUGAUGAAGGCCUUAGGGUUGUAAAGCUCUUUUACCCGGGAUGAUAAUGACAGUACCGGGAGAAUAAGCUCCGGCUAACUCCGUGCCAGCCGCCGCAGUAA